Molecule: ribosomal RNA, 650 nt
Filed under: Streptococcus infantarius
Lineage: Bacteria; Bacillati; Bacillota; Bacilli; Lactobacillales; Streptococcaceae
Description: bacterial SSU rRNA
Rfam family: Bacterial small subunit ribosomal RNA
Source: RNAcentral
GUGCCUAAUACAUGCAAGUAGAACGCUGAAGACUUUAGCUUGCUAAAGUUGGAAGAGUUGCGAACGGGUGAGUAACGCGUAGGUAACCUGCCUACUAGCGGGGGAUAACUAUUGGAAACGAUAGCUAAUACCGCAUAACAGCAUUUAACACAUGUUAGAUGCUUGAAAGGAGCAAUUGCUUCACUAGUAGAUGGACCUGCGUUGUAUUAGCUAGUUGGUGAGGUAACGGCUCACCAAGGCGACGAUACAUAGCCGACCUGAGAGGGUGAUCGGCCACACUGGGACUGAGACACGGCCCAGACUCCUACGGGAGGCAGCAGUAGGGAAUCUUCGGCAAUGGGGGCAACCCUGACCGAGCAACGCCGCGUGAGUGAAGAAGGUUUUCGGAUCGUAAAGCUCUGUUGUAAGAGAAGAACGUGUGUGAGAGUGGAAAGUUCACACAGUGACGGUAACUUACCAGAAAGGGACGGCUAACUACGUGCCAGCAGCCGCGGUAAUACGUAGGUCCCGAGCGUNGUCCGGAUUUAUUGGGCGUAAAGCGAGCGCAGGCGGUUUAAUAAGUCUGAAGUUAAAGGCAGUGGCUUAACCAUUGUUCGCUUUGGAAACUGUUAGACUUGAGUGCAGAAGGGGAGAGUGGAAUUCCAUGUGUA